GGGAAACAAAGCGAUGGAAAUAUCUUCCUCGUCAUCCCUCUAUCUCUUCCCACCCCUCUCCUCUUGGGCUCUUCCCCAUGCCGCCGCCACCACUUCCCCCAUCCUCUUGGACGCCUCGUCUCUUCCACCUCCGCCUCCAUCACCUCCUCCUCCCCUGCCUCCGCACCCGACCACGCGCUGUGGACGAGGAGGCAACAGCUCGGGAGGCAGGCAAGAGGAAAAUGGGAGUGAUCCCCUCCCGAGCCCCGCGCCUCUCCUCUUUCCCACUGCGCCGCCAGCCCCUUUCCCUCCCAUCUCGAGCUGCUGCAGCUCCUCCCUCAACCCGCGGCGAGCCUUCUUCUCCGACCGUUGUUGCCCGCACUGCUACCGCCACGGCCUGCUACUGCUCCUCCUCCUCCAGCUCCUCGCCCCAGCGACGCUUCCUCCCCUCCUCUCAUGCAAGGCGUCUUGGGGUGUGGAGGCGGCGGGGCAGCAGCCAGUCGUUGCCCUGCAGGGGCAGCAACAGGUCGGCUAUCCUGUUGUGGCGGCGACACGUCUAGAGGAACCGGUCGCCCUUCUCCUGGAUGAGCGCCGGAGCCGAAAAGCCGGAACUGACCAUUGAGGAGCCGGGGCAGCCAUGCCACAUAGGAAGGUCGAGGUGGACCAGGAGAAGCUGCACGAGGCUCCAUCGGCUCCUGCUCAAAUUUGGUUUCUCUAUGCCUACAUGGUGUUUGAUGAAAAUCCAAGAAGGACGGGGAGGAUUGAUCUAUGCGGAUAAGAGAAGAAAACUGAAACAUGUUCACUAGAGUGGCCUGGGGUGGCCUGCGAGCUACGAGGAUGGGGCUGCGAGACUGGAUUGGCAGCCGACAGCGAGAGAGGAAGGGUGGUUGUUCCUGUGAUGAGGUGGUGAUGAUUGCCAUAGUGGAAUUUUGUAGGUACGACGGCAGCGAGCUUUGAGGGCCCCCGGUUUGGUGGCAGCAUGAGCCUCGUGGAGUUGUCUCGGACAACAUCACAUCUAUUUGUUUUUGUUUCCCCACUUAGACUACUGCUUUGAUUCUGAAGUGUGGAGAUGGAUGUGACUUACCAUGGAGGAAGUGGGUACAAUAUCCAUUUGAAAGAUGCAGCAGGCUCAAAAUAAGUUUCCGGUGCAAGUGUAGCUGCAAGCCAGAUUGGUUCUUACAGCAAUGGAGUGAUUUGUACCCUGCAAAGUUCCUCUCUUGGUUCACUGACACGAUCAACCUAUGUGCACGUAGAUGAUGUUUUGUUUCCCUUCCUAGAAUCUCUGUUAUAUAUUGGUGUUGAUGUUUUCUUCACUUGGAGAUGCAAAAACAGCCCGAGACAGUUCAGGCUGAGGAUUCUCCCUCGCUCGAGGAUUCCAGUAACUAUGAGUUCUAGGCGAAGAUGUACGUUUCCUACAGACAUUUUCAGUUUGACGAGAGCUUUGCCAUUCAGCUUGAAAAAGUAUGUUCCGUCUAGGACAGAGAACCAUGAUUAUCACCACUGUUGGAGGAAAAAGCUAGAGCAAUUAUGUUUCUACUUUCAUGCAUUAUGGUUGUCUAUUCUCGGAAGGAUAGAGUUUACAUAUUUCGUAUGCCUAAAUAGUGAAGGUUAAAUGGAGUUAGUAAGACCAUAUUUGAUGCUGAUCAUAAGAUACUAACGGGCUCCAUGUAAUCCCAAGUGCAUUGAACAACAAUUGUCAUUUUGCAAGAUCUUCUAGAGGGCUAUAUGUCCUAUGCUCCUCUUGACGACAUAUAUGAGGACUCGCAACCCUGAGCCUGGAAGACAACCGUUAAGGCGGUGGUCAUGGGGCAACGAUAGUCGAUAGCUACUAUCAGAACAUAAACGUAUGGCCCUCCUUGUUGCCAUGAAGGAUUAUCGUCUAUUGGAUUUGCAGAACCAGUUAAUGACAAGAUGAUGGUAGUAGCAAUGGAGGGUCGUGGUUUCUGAAUGCUGAGACUUCCAGUUUUUAGUAUGGUAAACUCCAAAUUUGGAAAUGAUAUUGUCCAAUGUAUUCACGCAAUUAGAUAUCAUUUUAGAUUAUCUUCCCUUGGAACUUCUGCCAUGUAAAGCAUGGUUGCCUUUGAUUUACCGUUGUGCUAUGAACAUAAUGUAUUGGCGUCCUCUUCUCACGAAUCAUGCUGACACUUAGCUUCUGUUUUCCGAUGUAGGGUUAUUUAGUAUGAACAAAUAUGGCAACAGUCAUUAGUCGUACUGUUUCUUGAGGUGAUGCCACUGCUACAGGUUCGUAUAAGCUGAAUACUGGCGCAAGUUACUUUGAUGGUGGAACAGGUUCAGUUGCUGCAGUGCUUAGAAACUCUCGAGGGGAAGCUAUUGCAGGAGCUUCCGAGCUAAUUGACCAUGUUCUUAAUGCCCAAACUUCUGAAACUUUGGCGCUGUUGCGAGGUUUGAAGCUUCUUUCAGAGAUUGGGUGCACCAAGGUGACAGUCGAAUCAAAUUGUCUAGAACUGAUUGAAGCACGUAGUGGAAAAUUGAGAUUUUGGGUCCCAAUGUAGCAAUACUUGCGGACUGUUUUCAUAUUGCUCAUGAAAUUCCUGGAAUUUGUUUCAAGCAUUGUCCAAGUGAAGCUAAUGGAUUGGCACAUUUUCUGGCUAGCAAAUUCCAUUUGGUUUCACAGAGGAUAGGCCCAUUGGAUCUGUUGAUGCUACUGUGUUUCGACUUGAGAUCAGAUACUUCCCGUUUCAGCGUAAAGGUCGACAAGUGCCACCGCCACUCCCUAUGUUGUUUCUAUUCUAAUGUGAUCUACUUGAGACCAGGAGACAAACGUCUUUCACUCCUAUGGGGUCCAACUCCUAAUGAUUGAUGAUGUACAAUGUGUCUAAUUCCAGUUCAAACGUCUUUCACUUGAUUGGCUUGA
This is a long non-coding RNA of Triticum dicoccoides, 2854 nucleotides long. RefSeq lists it as uncharacterized. The transcript is spliced from 12 exons. The record is from RefSeq and is a predicted model, not a curated record. NCBI's taxonomy places the organism in Eukaryota, Viridiplantae, Streptophyta, Magnoliopsida, Poales, Poaceae.